AUGGCUUGUCGGUAAAGCGCUGGGAUUCCACCCAGUCAAUCCGGGUUCGAAUCCCGGU
RNAcentral lists this transfer RNA (58 nucleotides) under Daphnia pulex (common water flea). It matches the Rfam family "tRNA", at positions 7 to 64 of the family's 71-position model. From Rfam's summary of the family: Transfer RNA (tRNA) molecules are approximately 80 nucleotides in length. Their secondary structure includes four short double-helical elements and three loops (D, anti-codon, and T loops). Lineage: Eukaryota; Metazoa; Arthropoda; Branchiopoda; Diplostraca; Daphniidae. The record is from Rfam by way of RNAcentral.